CCUACGGGAGGCAGCAGUGGGGAAUAUUGCACAAUGGGGGAAACUCUGAUGCAGUGACGCCGCGUGCAGGAAGAAGUAUUUCGGUAUGGAAACUUCUAUCAGCAGGGAAGUAAAUGACGGUACCUGACUAAGAUGCCCCGGCUAACUACGUGCCAGCAGCCGCGGUAAUACGUAGGGGGCAAGCGUUAUCCGGAUUUACUGGGUGUAAAGGGAGCGUAGGCGGUGCAGCAAGCCAGAAGUGAAAGCCCGGGGCUCAACUCCGGGACUGCUUUUGAAACUGUUGAACUAGAUUGCAGGAGAGGUAAGUGGAAUUCCUGGUGUAGCGGUGAAAUGCGUAGAUAUUAGGAGGAACACCAGUGGCGAAGGCGGCUUACUGGACUGUAAAUGACGCUGAGGCUCGAAAGCGUGGGGAGCAGACAGGAUUAGAUACCCGAGUAGUC
Molecule: ribosomal RNA, 440 nt
Filed under: uncultured bacterium
Lineage: Bacteria
Description: partial 16S ribosomal RNA
Rfam family: Bacterial small subunit ribosomal RNA
Source: RNAcentral